Molecule: long non-coding RNA, 246 nt
Organism: Spea bombifrons (plains spadefoot toad)
Lineage: Eukaryota; Metazoa; Chordata; Amphibia; Anura; Pelobatidae
Exons: 2
Source: RefSeq, a predicted model, not a curated record
AAACUUAAUUGUUUUCCCAUAUUUAAACCUGUGCUACCCAGUCUGACAGCAGAGGAGCUUGUCAGCACUGGUUUUUCCGUGUCACCAGCCCCCCCACACGGAUUGAGGAGUUGUAAGAUGUCUGGUCCGGUUUCACCAGAUAAGGAGAAAUGUGUUACACCUGCUCCAAAAAAGGCUGUGGUUAAAACCAAACAUUUAUCGUGCACUGAAUGUGCCUGUCCUUUGCCUGAUGGUUCAAAAAAGAAA